UGGGGAAUUUUGGACAAUGGACGCAAGUCUGAUCCAGCCAUGCCGCGUGCGGGAAGAAGGCCUUCGGGUUGUAAACCGCUUUUGUCAGGGAAGAAACGAGUUUCUCUAAUACAGAGACUUAAUGACGGUACCUGAAGAAUAAGCACCGGCUAACUACGUGCCAGCAGCCGCGGUAAUACGUAGGGUGCAAGCGUUAAUCGGAAUUACUGGGCGUAAAGCGUGCGCAGGCGGUUAUGCAAGACAGAUGUGAAAUCCCCGGGCUCAACCUGGGAACUGCAUUUGUGAGUGCAUAGCUGGAGUGCGGCAGAGGGGGAUGGAAUUCCGCGUGUGGCGGUGAAAUGCGUAGAUAUGCGGGGGAACACCGAGGGGGAAGGCAAUCCCCUGGGCCUGUGCUGACGCUCAUGCACGAAAGCGUGGGGAGCAAAAA
RNAcentral lists this ribosomal RNA (427 nucleotides) under uncultured bacterium. RNAcentral describes it as "bacterial SSU rRNA". It matches the Rfam family "Bacterial small subunit ribosomal RNA", at positions 355 to 774 of the family's 1533-position model. The record is from RNAcentral.